This 442-nucleotide ribosomal RNA is filed under the name uncultured bacterium. RNAcentral's name for it is "bacterial SSU rRNA". It matches the Rfam family "Bacterial small subunit ribosomal RNA", at positions 335 to 766 of the family's 1533-position model. The record is from RNAcentral.
ACUCCUACGGGAGGCAGCAGUGGGGAAUAUUGCACAAUGGGGGAAACCCUGAUGCAGCCAUGCCGCGUGUGUGAAGAAGGCCUUCGGGUUGUAAAGCACUUUCAGUAGGGAGGAAGGUAGUGUAGUUAACACCUGCAUUAUUUGACGUUACCUACAGAAGAAGCACCGGCUAACUCCGUGCCAGCAGCCGCGGUAAGUACGGAGGGUGCGAGCGUUAAUCGGAAUUACUGGGCGUAAAGCGCAUGCAGGCGGCCUGUUAAGUCAGAUGUGAAAGCCCGGGGCUUAACCUCGGAAUUGCAUUUGAAACUGGCAGGCUAGAGUCUUGUAAGAGGGGUUAAGAAACGUUUCAGGUGUAGCGUGAAAUGCGUAGAGAUCUGAAGGAUACCAGUGGCGAAGGCGGCCCCUAGGACAAAGACUGACGCUCAGAUGCGAAAGCGUGGGA